RNAcentral lists this unclassified non-coding RNA (385 nucleotides) under fungal sp. RNAcentral's name for it is "partial internal transcribed spacer region". The stretch from base 1 to 46 matches the Rfam family "Eukaryotic small subunit ribosomal RNA", at positions 1786 to 1831 of the family's 1831-position model. The record is from RNAcentral. Lineage: Eukaryota; Fungi.
AAGUCGUAACAAGGUUUCCGUAGGUGAACCUGCGGAAGGAUCAUUAACACGUAUCCAAACGUUAAAACCCCCCCCCGUGAACCUUCAUCCUGCUCUUGUAACCCGCGUAGUUCGCAAGAGACCUCUGGCUACGUGCGAACAUUGGAACAGUUACAAUCGAGCGGUAGUUCUAUAGGCAAUGUUUCCCCAAGCAGUCAGUGUCGGAAAGUGUCAUUGAUUGUGCAAGGAUAGCGCUUCUACGAUUCCUGUAGACCGUACACUCGGGCAGGAGCUUUGCCAAAGGGUCCCCAUGCCCCCUAAUAACCCCACAGUUUAAUGUGAAGCUCAAUGUAAUACAUUGGGUAAAAAAACCGAACAACUGUUAACAAUGGAUAUCUUGGUUCUC